AAUCCUUUUUAAUAGUAGUCAAACGGAAAAUAGUAGUAAUUCAUCAUGAUAACGGAUAGAGAGUAUAUCUUGCUCAGCACCUAAGAGAAUGCCAAACACAUCAAGGGAAAUGAUGGCAAAGCAACUUUGAUCAGCAUAAGCUUCGAAGGCACACAGGAUGAAGAGAUUGCAUUGCUCAACAUAAAUAAGACGGCGUUGUUUUAGUAAGAUCGUGAUACCAAGGGAUCAAACAAAAUCGAUAAUUGUUAGAUGUAGGAGACCAAACUUCAUAUGGAAAAAUUUUUACUUUAUAUGAAAAUGGAAUUGCAAUGACAAAGAGGAGGGCGUCUUCGGAAACGUGGGAAAAGGAAAAUUUUUAAAUAGCAAAUUUCAAAUGUCUGUCAAGUGAAAACGUGCACGGACAAAAGAGGAUGAAGAGAAUAAAAAAAGGAAGAAAAAGUAGUAAAGAUCCGUCGUUUGAAAUUAAGUCCAAAACCACUAAUGCCAAAUUAAGCAUCGGAAUGCGGCCAAUCCUCUCAUUCAAAAAUAAUACGAAAAGUUGUGUAUAAUUUCCAGGCUUUUGCAAAGUAAUGAAGACGAUGACCGAAACCAAUGUGUAAUUAUAAAAACUUUUAUAAUAAGAAAAAGAUGUACUGAAAAAUGAAUAAAAGGAAAAAUAAACGUUACAAAUUUAACGGUUGGCUGAAGAAUCACGAGUUGCACAUGCGACUAUACGAAUUUUGUUGCUAGUAACAGUUUCGUUAUCAAAUCGAAAGCUAGGAUUUUUUAUGAUAAACGUCCAAACCUCGUCGCAAAACCGAUAUGUAUCCAAAUGACCCUUGAAUGUUAAACGAGAGCGGACCUUCUCC
Molecule: non-coding RNA, 848 nt
Organism: Schizosaccharomyces pombe (fission yeast)
Lineage: Eukaryota; Fungi; Ascomycota; Schizosaccharomycetes; Schizosaccharomycetales; Schizosaccharomycetaceae
Source: the annotation of a GenBank genome assembly